UACGUAGGGUGCAAGCGUUGUCCGGAAUUACUGGGCGUAAAGGGCGCGUAGGCGGCCUUCUAAGUCAGACGUGAAAUCCCCCGGCUUAACCUGGGAACUGCGUCUGAUACUGGGAGGCUUGAGUAUGGGAGAGGGAUGUAGAAUUCCAGGUGUAGCGGUGAAAUGCGUAGAUAUCUGGAGGAAUACCGGUGGCGAAGGCGGCAUCCUGGACCAUAACUGACGCUGAGGCGCGAAAGCUAGGGGAGCAAACAGG
Molecule: ribosomal RNA, 253 nt
Filed under: uncultured bacterium
Lineage: Bacteria
Description: partial 16S ribosomal RNA
Rfam family: Bacterial small subunit ribosomal RNA
Source: RNAcentral